GCUCUCACCGGGGUCGAGCCGCGGCGAGGGAACGGAUCGGAGACGCUGCGCCUGCUCAGAAGGUAGCGCAGCGGGGAAAGGCGGGAGAGCGUUAACUUCUGAGCCUGCGCGGUGGGAGUUGCUCAAGCAGGUGGUAGCGACUUGGCUUCCGGGCAGCGGGUAAAGGUGAGUCUGGGGCAUGGGUUCAGUGGGCAAGUCUAGGGCAGCAGAGUUGACUACGCCUCGGCGUAUAGAAUGGCCCUGGCCUGGGACAGCUAAGGACGACAAGAGGAGGCCGAAGCCUAAAACGCUUUCACCUGCUUCUUCCCCUGCCUAGAUCCCCCCAAUAGUAAUACUAAAGAGCGCCAUAGUUUACAAAGAUUUCUCCCUCUCACAACACCUUUUAAUCACUGAUCCGUAUUCCCUUAGCACUCAAAUCUCUUCUGUUUGGAUUGCCCUCAUUAACAAUCUGACCAGCUCGUACAAUGCAUCCCUCUUUGCAAUUUGCCACGUAUGCUUACGUGUUCCCCUUUUUUCUACUGGCAAGGAAAGAAUGUAAGCUUUUAUUCACAGGAGAUGUCUGAGACUUUUGCCGGUAAAAUGAUCUGGCUACAAGGUCUAAGAGGGAAAAGCAGUUUGCUCGAGGAAAGGUAUUCGUGCAUUAAGGACAGUCCUGUGAGUGAGAUAUUGGUGGACGGCUUCAAGCUCUAGCCUGUGGCCUACAGCUGGCCUAAAUAAGACUGGGAAGGAACUGUGAAGACGGUUUCAAAUUCCUAAAGCCCUGAAAUUCUCCCCCUAAGUUUAGGAAGAGCUUUUGUUCUUGGUGUGUAACACUGAUAAAUGAAUUGGUACCUAGUGAUUAAUCUGCACUUUUAUUAAGAUAUGACCUACUUUACCUUUUUUGAGACAGGAUCUUGCUCUGUCGCCCAAUAGCCCAGGCUGGAGUGCAGUGGCAGAGUUGCAGCUGGCUGCAGCCUCCACCUCCCUGGCUCAAGUGAUCUUCCAGCCUCAGCCUCCCCAGUAGCUGAGACUAUACAGGUGCAGGCCACCACUCUUAAUUUUUUUUGUUUGUUUUUAAGAGACAGGUCUCCCUACGUAGCCCAAGCUGUUUUCGAAGUCCUAGGUUCCUCCCACCUUGGACUCCCAAAGUGCUGGGAUUACAGGCUUGACCCACUGCGCCCAGCCUGCAUCUUUACAUUCGAAAUAAAAUUCAGUCAAGUCAAAGCCGGUCUUGGAGGAAAAUGUGGCUUUGAUGACAGCAGUAGGGAUUUUCCUUCAGUGCCUACUUACCAGAGGAUAAUAAUAACAGCAAGUUUCUUAAACAUAAAAACAUCAGAAAUGAAAAAGAACUUUCCAUAACACUAUAAAUAUUGCAGUAUUUCAAGAUACUGAACCAGAGCCCUAAGGAAAGGCUGGAGACCCAGAAUUUUAUAAUGGCUUUGGGACAUGAAUUUUAUUUUAACCAGAGGACAAAAUUAAUCUGCAAAAGCUGUCUUGGAGAAAUUUCAGGAAAUAAAAGAUCAAAUGUAUCUGCUGUCCUCCCUUCCCUCUCCAGGAGAAUAAAAGGCAAAUGCAAACUAUCACAGGGAGAUUUUCACCUUUACCUAAAUUAUUUAUUAUAUACUUUAUAUUUCUGGUUAAUAGAUUGGGAGAGAGCACUCCAGAUAAAGAACUUCCUUUAUAAAUGCCACAUUUAUUUCAGUACUGGAGGUUUGGUCUUGUGUUGCCACAAAGAUUUGGAAUGGCAUCUAUGUUAUAAAUUUAGAUGACAAAAGAGACUAAUAAAAGACUUCUAGAUGAAACACAAGCUUCUAAUAUUCUGGUCCAGGAAAUAAGAUAGAAACUAAAAAACAAUAAAUAACUUUUAUGAAUUAACUGAAGGACUUAAAAUACUUGUUCCAUUCUAAUCCCAAGUGUCUGCCAAGGAACUGAAAUUUAAAAUGAUAAAAGACAUGAUACAGUCAUGUUACAGGGAAUUCAAUGAAGUAAAAAUGGCAGACAUUGAUGAAUGGUAUGGUUUAAAGAUUUGUGUAGAGGUAGUGAUGAGGAGGCCUGCUGGGAGCUGGAAAAGUUCUAUACCUUGACACAGUUAUGCUUACAUGGAUAUACACACACAGUAGUCACUAAGCCAUGAUUUGUACUUAUGAUUUGCACACUUUGGUGGUUGUAAAUUGUACAGCAAUCUAAAAACAAAUGAGGUCAGUGUGCCUCACUACAGAGCUUCAAAAGUGGUAGAUAGCACAUCUCUUUUUUCUUUUAAGCCAUCUAAUACAGAGUUGCUUGGAAUAAAUCCUAAUAGAUACAGUGUUUCUAGAAACAAGUAAAUGAAUAAACCUUAGCUGUUACCCCGUAGGAGCCAACAGAGGUCAAUCUGUUCUCAAGCUUUUACAAAGUUACAAGAACAAGUAAUCAGUGCAUAUUUUGUUGAAACUCCUACUGCAAUACUGAAAACUUCAAAUGGAGAGCAGCUCCUUUUUGGUAAUUCACAACAGACUUAGUUUUCAAAUUACCAAGAAUAUAAGGAAUUAGAUUAGAAGCCUAAUUCAAUUUAGAAUUAUGAGACAUUAUUUGUAACCCACAAGUAUUAUUUUUCCCAUGAUACUGAACAAUUCACCUGGCAUGAACUUAAAAGAAGAAAAUGCUUAUUGCAGCCUUCUUGCUUUAAGAGCGAAAAAAACAAUUUUGCUAGCUGUGGAGGGACUAGAAUACAAUGUCACUUUAAGAUUUACACUCUCAAAAGUUUUGACCUAUCAGAUUGAGAGCCAGAGAGAGAGACAGACAGAAGGAGAAGGAUAAAUCAAAUGUGGUAAAAUGUUAACCUUUGGGGGAUCUGGGUAGAGGGGAUCUGGGAAUUAUUUGUACUAUUGCAACUUUUCUGUAAGUCUGAAAUUGUGUUGUCAAAAGUCAAAAGAAAAAAUUUAUAAAUACUUUAUCAUCCAUUUGCUUUAUAAUUAGGUACAGAGUAUGAUGACAGAGAGAGCCUACUGUAUGCCAGAUACUUAACAGAAGGAAAGUAGUUUAUAUGUAAACUCUGGGAAAAGUGGAGCCAAAUGAUUACACUGUGUGUACCCUUUAGCACUGUUUGGGGUGGGGACAUGGGGGGUCAGGGUGCAGAGAGGGACUGUUCUGGUCUCCUUGGAAGGUAUGUGCCUAUAGUAAAAAGCAUGAGUAAGAUAUCACAUCUCCUAACUCCGUAACAACCAAGCAAACUUAUAAUAGCAUUUUAACUUAUAUCACCUUUUUUAUAGGAGCGGAUAUAUAUUCCAGCAGCAUGAGUAUUUUAGCCCUCUUUGCAAUUGCAGUCUUCAUUCAUUAUCAUCAAUAAACUGGCCUCUGGUUG
RNAcentral lists this long non-coding RNA (3319 nucleotides) under Homo sapiens (human). Its description in RNAcentral is "non-protein coding lnc-MRTO4-1:3". Lineage: Eukaryota; Metazoa; Chordata; Mammalia; Primates; Hominidae. The record is from RNAcentral.